UGCAAACUUGUAUUUCAACACAAAAAAAUCAAUUAACAAUAAAGAGAAAGGGAAGAAGAGUAGCCGAGGGGGUUAUCCAAGGCCAAUUCACAAUAAUAAGAGAAAACAGUUAAAUUGGAACGAGUUAUCUGCGACUGUUUCUUGCGGAUUCCCAUGGUGGCUCUCCUCCUUGUCUUUACGUUAAUUCAUCAAAAUGCUCUCAAGUUUCUCCCUCUGGCACUGCUCUCAUUUUCGGCAAGUAAACUACCUUAUUUUGUGGCAAACAAGUGUUUAACAAGUCAUGAGAAAGACAAGAACACUUAAGAGAUUUUUCUUUGAAAACUGGUACAUUUUUUAAUGAAGUGAAAGCCUCCUUUUAUAACCUUUAAGCCCCAACAUCCCUUGUUAUUUU
Molecule: long non-coding RNA, 391 nt
Filed under: Gossypium raimondii (Peruvian cotton)
Lineage: Eukaryota; Viridiplantae; Streptophyta; Magnoliopsida; Malvales; Malvaceae
Description: long non-coding RNA (GRAI_LNC005284)
Source: RNAcentral